GACAGAGGGGGCAAGCGUUGCUCGGAAUCACUGGGCGUAAAGGGCGCGUAGGCGGGAUGGCAAGUCGGUCGUGAAAUCCUUCGGCUCAACCGAAGAACGUCGGCCGAUACUGCCGUUCUUGAGGGAUGCAGAGGAGAUUGGAAUUCCCGGUGUAGCGGUGAAAUGUGUAGAGAUCGGGAGGAACACCGGUGGCGAAGGCGGGUCUCUGGGCAUCUCCUGACGCUGAGGAGCGAAAGCCAGGGGAGCAAACGGG
This 253-nucleotide ribosomal RNA is filed under the name uncultured bacterium. RNAcentral describes it as "partial 16S ribosomal RNA". It matches the Rfam family "Bacterial small subunit ribosomal RNA", at positions 524 to 776 of the family's 1533-position model. The record is from RNAcentral.